This 144-nucleotide non-coding RNA is filed under the name uncultured Cetobacterium sp. The record is from RNAcentral. Lineage: Bacteria; Fusobacteriati; Fusobacteriota; Fusobacteriia; Fusobacteriales; Fusobacteriaceae.
GGUUUUGAAAUUAAAAGGGAAUUAAGUGAGAAUCUUAAACGGUCACGCCACUGUGAAAUGGACGAAGAUAGUAAAACCACUGGGAAACUGGGAAGGGCUAUUGUUAGGAUGAAGUUGAGUCAGGAUACCUGCCAUAAAAUUUAA